Molecule: ribosomal RNA, 253 nt
Filed under: uncultured prokaryote
Description: partial 16S ribosomal RNA
Rfam family: Bacterial small subunit ribosomal RNA
Source: RNAcentral
UACAGAGGGUGCGAGCGUUAAUCGGAAUUACUGGGCGUAAAGCGUGCGUAGACGGCUAUCUAAGUCGGGUGUGAAAGCCCCGGGCUCAACCUGGGAAUUGCAUUCGAGACUGAAUAGCUAGGGUACGGUAGAGGGAAGUGGAACUGCGAGUGUAGAGGUGAAAUUCGUAGAUAUUCGCAAGAACACCAGUGGCGAAGGCGGCUCACUGGCCCGGUACUGACGCUGAGGUGCGAAAGCGUGGGGAGCAAACAGG